RNAcentral lists this long non-coding RNA (232 nucleotides) under Capsicum annuum. RNAcentral describes it as "long non-coding RNA (CANN_LNC012391)". The record is from RNAcentral. Lineage: Eukaryota; Viridiplantae; Streptophyta; Magnoliopsida; Solanales; Solanaceae.
AGACAUAUAUAUAGAAAUCGUACUUGUGUAGAGAGAUUGUGGAUGAUUAUGGACUCGGGUAUGUUUGUUAGUAGAUUGAUGUAAAUGAAAUGUUUAGACAUUGUUUAAGUUAUGAUUACUAGUUUUGUUUUUGUAAUCUUGAUAUAUACUCGGGGUUCUUUCAACACUUAUGGAUUGAUGUAAUGUUUAGGUUGGGUUGACAAGGAAAUCUCCAAUUCAUGUUGAGCUUGAG